GGGCCUGUAGCCUAGUGGUUACAAGAGCCUUAGUAGCACCUAAGAUACUGGGUUUGACUUCUGGUUGGAGCGAAUAUUCCAGGAUUUUUUAACAGCUUAUGCUUUCAGGGGUAGGCACCGUCCCCGCUGAUCAGGCUUCGGAGAUGUUGUGUUGUGAGCGUCUGCGUUGUACUGUGUUUCCUAAAAAAAAAUACUUAACCAAAUCUUCUAAUUCUUUCACACAACGCAUGGAUAACAUAUUUCCUUGUUUUUCAAAGCAUGUGUCUUGAUCUAAAUAAGAAAUUUGAAGCAUGUGUCUUGAUCUAAAUAAGAAAUUUGUUCACUUCUGGCAAGUAGUUCUGGCAAGUAGGGUGGAUGAGAUCUUGGCAUAUCAUAUAUUCAUGCCCUAUCUAUAUACUCCCUCC
This 404-nucleotide long non-coding RNA is filed under the name Oryza brachyantha (malo sina). RNAcentral's name for it is "long non-coding RNA (OBRA_LNC001669)". Lineage: Eukaryota; Viridiplantae; Streptophyta; Magnoliopsida; Poales; Poaceae. The record is from RNAcentral.